AGUGAACGCUGGCGGUAGGCCUAACACAUGCCAGUCGAACGGCAGCACAGUAAGAGCUUGCUCUUACGGGUGGCGAGUGGCGGACGGGUGAGGAAUACAUCGGAAUCUACUUUUUCGUGGGGGAUAACGUAGGGAAACUUACGCUAAUACCGCAUACGACCUACGGGUGAAAGCAGGGGAUCUUCGGACCUUGCGCGAUUGAAUGAGCCGCUGUCGGAUUAGCUAGUUGGCGGGGUAAAGGCCCACCAAGGCGACGAUCCGUAGCUGGUCUGAGAGGAUGAUCAGCCACACUGGAACUGAGACACGGUCCAGACUCCUACGGGAGGCAGCAGUGGGGAAUAUUGGACAAUGGGCGCAAGCCUGAUCCAGCCAUACCGCGUGGGUGAAGAAGGCCUUCGGGUUGUAAAGCCCUUUUGUUGGGAAAGAAAAGCAGCAGGUUAAUACCCCGCUGUUCUGACGGUACCCAAAGAAUAAGCACCGGCUAACUUCGUG
This 492-nucleotide ribosomal RNA is filed under the name uncultured bacterium. Its description in RNAcentral is "partial 16S ribosomal RNA". It matches the Rfam family "Bacterial small subunit ribosomal RNA", at positions 29 to 507 of the family's 1533-position model. The record is from RNAcentral.